Molecule: unclassified non-coding RNA, 1071 nt
Filed under: Hevea brasiliensis (rubber tree)
Lineage: Eukaryota; Viridiplantae; Streptophyta; Magnoliopsida; Malpighiales; Euphorbiaceae
Source: RNAcentral
UGUUGGCAUUAUCUUGCCAAAAUCAACUUUUGAAUUUACUGUUACAAUGCAAGCUCCAAAGGCAGGUACUGCUGAAAAGGUGUGCAAAGACAAGUUUUUAAUCCAAAGCACUGUUGUUCCUGCUGGAACAACUGAGAAGGACAUAACAACUGAUAUGUUUAACAAAGACGAUGGCAAGUACAUUGAAGAGAUCAAGCUGAAAGUGGUCCUUAUCAGCCCCCCUCAGUCUCCAGUACUGUCACCAAUAAAUGGGGUGCUUAAGCAGGAACCUCUUUUUGGAGCUUCUGUGCUGAGAGAUCCUAUAUUGAGUAAAGUUGAGAAUACCACUCCACCACACAUGGUUGCCAAGAAUAGAAUUCAAAAUGAUUUUUGAUCAGGAGUUCAAAAAAGAAAAGGAUGUGGAGUUGAAGCCAAAUAAGGAUAUUGAUGAUCAGGAGUUGAAGCCAGAAAAUGAUGCAGAAAUGAUGCCAAGUAAUGAUGUGGUUAAUGUUGAGGCAGUAAAUCUGGCGAAUGAUGAAGAGUUGAAGUCAGAAAAUAAUGCCGUCAAUGAUAAUCUGGCAAAGGAUGCACAUUUAUCUCCCCCAAAGAAUGCAGAAUUUGUAACAUUAAAGGCUGUGGAGGAGCUGAAGUUUGUCAAUGACAUUGAGGAGAUGAAAUCAAAACUGAAUGCACUUGAAUCAAAGCUAAAUGAGGCUGAAUCUACUAUUUCAAAAUUGUCAGAGGAGAGGAAAACAAGUGUCCAGGAGAGAAAAAUUUUGCAGCACGAGCUAGCCAUGUUGAGGAGCAGGACAAGCACAAGAAGAGUUCAAGUGGGAUUUCCUCUUCUUUUUGUUGUUAUGGUUGCUCUUGUCAGUGUUUUGCUUGGAUACCUUUCUCACCCAUGAGUACGAAGACAUUACAGAGUAUGUCAAAGUUUGUUAUAGUUAGAACUUUAAAGGUACUAAUUGAAUUCUCCAAGGAAUAGGAAGGGACUGUAAGUUCAUCCUUUUUGGGUUUAUUCAAUCUAGGUUAGUAUGUUGAGUGUGUAGAUGAUACUCUUAAUGAAAAUAUCGAAUGUAGAGUGCCUGAUUC